RNAcentral lists this ribosomal RNA (253 nucleotides) under uncultured bacterium. Its description in RNAcentral is "partial 16S ribosomal RNA". It matches the Rfam family "Bacterial small subunit ribosomal RNA", at positions 524 to 776 of the family's 1533-position model. The record is from RNAcentral.
GACGAAGGACCCGAGCGUUAUCCGGAUUCAUUGGGCGUAAAGGGCGCGUAGGCGGCUCUGCACGUUCGUUGUGAAAUCGCCCGGCUCAACUGGGCGGGGUCAGCGGAUACGGCAGAGCUUGAGCAAGCUAGGGGGCAAUGGAAUUCCCGGUGUAGUGGUGGAAUGCGUAGAUAUCGGGAGGAACAUCAGUGGCGAAGGCGGCCUUCUGGUCCAGUACUGACACUCAAGUGCGAAAGCGUGGGGAGCAAACAGG